This 430-nucleotide ribosomal RNA is filed under the name uncultured bacterium. Its description in RNAcentral is "partial 16S ribosomal RNA". It matches the Rfam family "Bacterial small subunit ribosomal RNA", at positions 354 to 796 of the family's 1533-position model. The record is from RNAcentral.
GUGGGGAAUAUUGCACAAUGGGCGCAAGCCUGAUGCAGCAACGCCGCGUGAGGGAUGACGGCCUUCGGGUUGUAAACCUCUUUUAGUAGGGAAGAAGCGUAAGUGACGGUACCUGCAGAAAAAGCACCGGCUAACUACGUGCCAGCAGCCGCGGUAAUACGUAGGGUGCAAGCGUUGUCCGGAAUUAUUGGGCGUAAAGAGCUCGUAGGCGGCUUGUCGCGUCUGCCGUGAAAACCCAGGGCUCAACUCUGGGCGUGCGGUGGGUACGGGAAGGCUAGAGUGCGGUAGGGGAGAUUGGAAUUCCUGGUGUAGCGGUGGAAUGCGAAGAUAUCAGGAGGAACACCGAUGGCGAAGGCAGAUCUCUGGGCCGUAACUGACGCUGAGGAGCGAAAGCAUGGGGAGCGAACAGGAUUAGAUACCCGGGUAGUCC